CAGAGUAAAAGCCUGUGCGUCAAGUGCCGGCCCGACGGGGAGUUGCGGGGCGGACGAAGGAAAGGGCCGCCGCCCUUUUCCGCGGUGCAGGCUUUGCAUCCCGCUGC
This 107-nucleotide non-coding RNA is filed under the name human gut metagenome. RNAcentral describes it as "THF riboswitch". It matches the Rfam family "THF (Tetrahydrofolate) riboswitch aptamer". Rfam says of the family: THF riboswitch presents a pseudoknot that joins P1-P2 and the loop of P3 and two THF binding. The record is from RNAcentral.